UCUGGGAUAAGCCUGGGAAACUGGGUCUAAUACCGGAUAGGAGCGUCCACCGCAUGGUGGGUGUUGGAAAGAUUUAUCGGUUUUGGAUGGACUCGCGGCCUAUCAGCUUGUUGGUGAGGUAAUGGCUCACCAAGGCGACGACGGGUAGCCGGCCUGAGAGGGUGACCGGCCACACUGGGACUGAGACACGGCCCAGACUCCUACGGGAGGCAGCAGUGGGGAAUAUUGCACAAUGGGCGAAAGCCUGAUGCAGCGACGCCGCGUGAGGGAUGACGGCCUUCGGGUUGUAAACCUCUUUCAGUAGGGAAGAAGCGAAAGUGACGGUACCUGCAGAAGAAGCACCGGCUAACUACGUGCCAGCAGCCGCGGUAAUACGUAGCGUGCGAGCGUUAUCCGGAAUUAUUGGGCGUAAAGAGCUCGUAGGCGGUUUGUCGCGUCUGUCGUGAAAGUCCGGGGCUUAACCCCGGAUCUGCGGUGGGUACGGGCAGACUAGAGUGCAGUAGGGGAGACUGGAAUUCCUGGUGUAGCGGUGGAAUGCGCAGAUAUCAGGAGGAACACCGAUGGCGAAGGCAGGUCUCUGGGCUGUAACUGACGCUGAGGAGCGAAAGCAUGGGGAGCGAACAGGAUUAGAUACCCUGGUAGUCCAUGCCGUAAACGUUGGGCACUAGGUGUGGGGACCAUUCCACGGUUUCCGCGCCGCAGCUAACGCAUUAAGUGCCCCGCCUGGGGAGUACGGCCGCAAGGCUAAAACUCAAAGGAAUUGACGGGGGCCCGCACAAGCGGCGGAGCAUGCGGAUUAAUUCGAUGCAACGCGAAGAACCUUACCAAGGCUUGACAUGUUCUCGAUCGCCGUAGAGAUACGGUUUCCCCUUUGGGGCGGGUUCACAGGUGGUGCAUGGUUGUCGUCAGCUCGUGUCGUGAGAUGUUGGGUUAAGUCCCGCAACGAGCGCAACCCUCGUUCCAUGUUGCCAGCACGUCGUGGUGGGGACUCAUGGGAGACUGCCGGGGUCAACUCGGAGGAAGGUGAGGACGACGUCAAAUCAUCAUGCCCCUUAUGUCUUGGGCUUCACGCAUGCUACAAUGGCCGGUACAAUGGGUUGCGAUACUGUGAGGUGGAGCUAAUCCCAAAAAGCCGGUCUCAGUUCGGAUUGGGGUCUGCAACUCGACCCCAUGAAGUCGGAGUCGCUAGUAAUCGCAGAUCAGCAACGCUGCGGUGAAUACGUUCCCGGGCCUUGUACACACCGCCCGUCAAGUCACGAAAGUUGGUAACACCCGAAGCCGGUGGCCUA
This 1289-nucleotide ribosomal RNA is filed under the name uncultured Micrococcineae bacterium. RNAcentral's name for it is "bacterial SSU rRNA". It matches the Rfam family "Bacterial small subunit ribosomal RNA", at positions 137 to 1437 of the family's 1533-position model. Lineage: Bacteria; Bacillati; Actinomycetota; Actinomycetes; Micrococcales. The record is from RNAcentral.